GGAGAUCGCCCCCCUGUGUCUGCGCAAGGAAGUGCACCCCCGGCCCUGCUGCGCCCCCUGCCCUUCCUCCUGCUGCUCCCCCUCCUCCCCCUCCUCCUCCAGUCUGUCCGCCCGGGCCACCUGCUUCCUGUCCAGCCCGCUGGCCUUCCUGUCUCGACGCCAUGGCGACCAGGAGCGGGGCGGGGCCAGGGGUGACCUCACUUCCUGCUCCUCCCCUGCCCCGGCCUUCCUGGUCCCGGGAUCCUCCGCCUGUGUCCCGGCUGGACCCAGCUGCUCCCCUGAGACCCCCUCCUGCUACAGGCAGGGACCUGCGGAGCAGGCUGGGGGUGAGAGGUCAGGGGUCGUGACCCUACAAGAAGACGGAGGGGAUUUCUCUCUAGAGCUCGAAGUCACAGAGACCAGAGACGAGAGGCUACUGUCUGACUCUGUGAUCAAGGUAAACUACAAUCCCAUUUUCCACAGGAGAGAGCACUAUAAACUAUUCAUGUUGGGCAGUAUCUCCUAUUAAAAUAGAAAUAUGUAUCACAUAUUAAAAUAGAGUAUAACUCAGUACAGGGCAGUGUCACCUGUUACAGUACAGUAUAACUCAGUACAGAGCAGUGUCACCUGUUACAGUACAGUAUAACUCAGUGUAGGGCAGUGUCACCUGUUACAGUACAGUAUAACUCAGUACAGAGCAGUGUCACCUGUUACAGUACAGUAUAACUCAGUAUAG
Molecule: long non-coding RNA, 715 nt
Filed under: Lepisosteus oculatus (spotted gar)
Lineage: Eukaryota; Metazoa; Chordata; Actinopteri; Semionotiformes; Lepisosteidae
Description: lncRNA (ENSLOCG00000023235.1)
Source: RNAcentral